Molecule: ribosomal RNA, 632 nt
Filed under: Primula rugosa
Lineage: Eukaryota; Viridiplantae; Streptophyta; Magnoliopsida; Ericales; Primulaceae
Description: eukaryotic LSU rRNA
Rfam family: 5.8S ribosomal RNA (bases 255-410)
Source: RNAcentral
CGAAUCCUGCAAAGCAGAACGGCCCGUGAAUUUGUAUAUAAUAAUCCGGGAGUGCAUCGGAUGGGUUCUUGGCCUGUUCGGUGUUGUCCCUUGCUAGGGGUGGGCUAGUUGUCCUCUUAGGACACUAGUUCACAUUCCUAGCAGCACAAUAAACCCCGGCGCGAACUGUGCCAAGGAAAUUGAACAAAGAGAUCAUGCUUGUUGCUCCUGUUCGCGGGUUGCGACGAGUGUUGAAUCUUGCAUAACAAUAAAACGACUCUCGGCAACGGAUAUCUAGGCUCUCGCAUCGAUGAAGAACGUAGCAAAAUGCGAUACUUGGUGUGAAUUGCAGAAUCCCGUGAACCAUCGAGUUUUUGAACGCAAGUUGCGCCCGAAGCCAUUAGGCCAAGGGCACGUCUGCCUGGGCGUCUCAUAAAGCGUCGCUUGCACCACUCCCCAACGAGUAACGGUGUUUGGAGCGGAUAGUGGCUCCCCGUGUGCCUUUGUAUGCGGUCGGCCUAAAAAUGAGUCUCGACAAUCAACGUCACGACAAGUGGUGGUUGUCAAACUGUUGCGUUUUGUCGUGCACGUUUCGAUUGCCAUCGGAUGACUAUUUGACCCUGAAGCUCAAUUAUAUUGGAACCUUGAUCGCG